Molecule: ribosomal RNA, 273 nt
Filed under: uncultured bacterium
Lineage: Bacteria
Description: partial 16S ribosomal RNA
Rfam family: Bacterial small subunit ribosomal RNA
Source: RNAcentral
UACGGAGGGCGCGAGCGUUACCCGGAUUUACUGGGCGUAAAGGGCGUGUAGGCGGCCUGGGGCGUCCCAUGUGAAAGGCCACGGCUCAACCGUGGAGGAGCGUGGGAUACGCUCAGGCUAGAGGGUGGGAGAGGGUGGUGGAAUUCCCGGAGUAGCGGUGAAAUGCGCAGAUACCGGGAGGAACGCCGAUGGCGAAGGCAGCCACCUGGUCCACUUCUGACGCUGAGGCGCGAAAGCGUGGGGAGCAAACCGGAUUAGAUACCCGGGUAGUCC